GUUUACACAAGUAUAGGCUGUUUUGGUUUUCGUUAAGUACUUUGUUUUGUAGUGUUUGUUAUUGAUUCGUGUUUUACGUUCGUUCAUUAAACAUGGAUCGCAAUCUACACGCUGCAUUUUGGUCCGACUCUCCUUCACACCUAGAAAACCGUAACACCAUGACACUUUUGUAAGGCACCUACGGAAGGCCCAGCCCAGUGGUUCUGGGGGAACCAAUCAGAAAGAAUGGAAAUACAUGAAAAUAUUAUCAUUCUUGAUACCUUACGGCCAGCCAAGAAGCUCAAGAGGCAACCACAGCCUUGAAAAUGCUGAUUCGCCUCAGCCACAACCUACGGAACCCAAUGACGCUGAAGGCGAUGUGGUGUCCCUGAGCCAUGACCCUGUGCUUCAGAUGACUGAACAACAGUCAAGACCAACCACUACAGGCACAGCUCAAGACUGGCAGCCAAGAAAAAGAAAACAAAGUCAACUAUCAAGAUGUGGAUGAAGAGCUGCUUGCAUUUGUCAGGAAGCCAAUCCCUUCUGCUGUUACCUCAGAGGAUGAGGCAUUUGUACACAGCCUUGUACCAGAGCUGAAGAAAAUGGGGAGAAACAAGGGACGUCUGAAAGUGCAAUUACUCUCAUUGAUUGUAAACUGGGGUGAUCAGUAUGCAACACCUCUGCUACCACCUCCACCACCACAAUGGCUCUUUGAUGCUCCACAUGGAAGAGCUGGAUUGCGGCCUAUGAUGUACAGCCAGCCCAGGCAUCAAUACUCCUACUCACCAGGAUCUAGGUCUCCAACACAUAACUGGGAUGACCAGCAGGCAACACCACUGCCACCACCACGGCCCUCAAGUACUCCGCACGGAAGAGUUGGACUGCAGCCAAUCAUGUACAAUGAGGCCAGGGAUCAAUACUUACCAGAACCUAGGUCUCCAACAUAUAGCUGGGAUGACAUUACAUUCAGUACAUUCUCUCAAGAGAGCUAGGACAGAGACUCCCAGCCAAAUCAAUAAUCACCUCCGAAAAGGCAGAACCCAGCCCUGCGCAUACUUAGGCCCAUGUUCUGUUUUAGUGUUUUAAAAAGGGAAACAUUUAUGUAUGCACUAUUUGCACUUUGUUGCAGUUAUAUAUGCAUUGCACCUUGCAUUUAACUUUUUAAAUUGUUUUUUUUGUUGCUAUUCAGUGGAUAUUGUUAUUGGGAGGGAUAUGCCGUAUUUGUUUACAUGCCUUGGUGUGACUGUUAAUGUCACCUACAUGUUCACCAUGCCUUGAUGUGACUGUUAAUGUCACCUACAACAGGUGCACCAUGCCAUGUUGUGACUGUUAAUGUCACCUAAAACAGGUGCACCAUGCCAUGUUGUGACUGUUUAUGUCACCUUGAAUAAUAAUAAAAAAAGAC
This is a long non-coding RNA of Oncorhynchus tshawytscha (Chinook salmon), 1384 nucleotides long. The record is from Ensembl. Lineage: Eukaryota; Metazoa; Chordata; Actinopteri; Salmoniformes; Salmonidae.